GUAAAGCGAUACUGAAACUACACCCGUAGAAGAAUCAGAAUCUUUGUUCUGGACGGGGGUUCAAUUCCCCCCAUCUCCACAG
RNAcentral lists this transfer-messenger RNA (82 nucleotides) under Actinomycetota bacterium. RNAcentral describes it as "Actinobacteria bacterium partial transfer-messenger RNA". It matches the Rfam family "transfer-messenger RNA", at positions 289 to 374 of the family's 374-position model. Rfam says of the family: Bacterial tmRNA, also known as 10Sa RNA or SsrA, is named for its dual tRNA and mRNA-like properties. Lineage: Bacteria; Bacillati; Actinomycetota. The record is from RNAcentral.